CUGGCGGUAUGCUUAAGACAUGCAAGUCGUACGGAAGUCUUCGGACUUCAGUGGCGGACGGGUGAGUAACACGUGGGAAUCUACUUAGUAGUGGGGGACAGCCCGGCGAAAGCCGGAUUAAUACCGCAUACGCCCUAAGGGGGAAAGCAGCAAUGCGCUAUUGAAUGAGCCCGCGUAAGAUUAGCUAGUUGGUGGGGUAAAGGCCCACCAAGGCGACGAUCUUUAGCUGGUCUGAGAGGAUGGCCAGCCACAUCGGGACUGAGACACGGCCCGGACUCCUACGGGAGGCAGCAGUCGGGAAUAUUGGACAAUGGGCGCAAGCCUGAUCCAGCAAUACCGCGUGUGUGAAGAAGGCCUGCGGGUUGUAAAGCACUUUCAGUGGGGAAGAUAAUGACGUUACCCACAGAAGAAGCACCGGCUAACUCCGUGCCAGCAGCCGCGGUAAUACGGAGGGUGCAAGCGUUAAUCGGAAUUACUGGGCGUAAAGCGCACGUAGGCGGCCUUUUAAGUCAGAUGUGAAAUCCCCGGGCUCAACCUGGGAACUGCACCUGAUACUGGGAGGCUAGAAUGUGGGAGAGGAGAGUAGAAUUUCCGGUGUAGCGGUGAAAUGCAUAGAGAUCGGAAGGAAUACCAGUGGCGAAGGCGGCUCUCUGGACCAACA
RNAcentral lists this ribosomal RNA (661 nucleotides) under uncultured Gammaproteobacteria bacterium. RNAcentral describes it as "bacterial SSU rRNA". It matches the Rfam family "Bacterial small subunit ribosomal RNA", at positions 36 to 739 of the family's 1533-position model. The record is from RNAcentral. Lineage: Bacteria; Pseudomonadati; Pseudomonadota; Gammaproteobacteria.